Molecule: ribosomal RNA, 408 nt
Filed under: uncultured bacterium
Lineage: Bacteria
Description: partial 16S ribosomal RNA
Rfam family: Bacterial small subunit ribosomal RNA
Source: RNAcentral
GACGAACGCUGGCGGCAUGCUUAACACAUGCAAGUCGAACGAAGUGGCGAACGGGUGAGUAACGCGUAAUCAACCUGCCCUUCAGAGGGGGACAACAGUGGGAAACGACUGCUAAUACCGCAUAGUGAAGUAGGGGAGUGCGUCUGAUUAGCUAGUCGGAGGGGUAAAGGCCCACCCAGGCGAUGAGCAGUAGCCGGUCUGAGAGGAUGAACGGCCACAUUGGGACUGAGACACGGCCCCGACUCCUACGGGAGGCAGCAGUGGGGAAUCUUCCGCAAUGGACGAAAGUCUGACGGAGCAACGCCGCGUGAGUGAUGACGGCCUUCGGGUUGUAAAGCUCUGUUAAGCGGGACGCGGUACCGGAAUAGAAAGCCACGGCUAACUACGUGCCAGCAGCCGCGGUAAUUG